RNAcentral lists this small nuclear RNA (97 nucleotides) under Neogale vison (American mink). Lineage: Eukaryota; Metazoa; Chordata; Mammalia; Carnivora; Mustelidae. The record is from RNAcentral.
GUGCUCCCUUCGGCAGCACAUAUACUGAAAUUAGAGAAGACUUCCAUGGCCCCUGCAUGAGGAGGACCUGAAAAUUCAUGAAGUGUCCCAUACUUUG